Molecule: long non-coding RNA, 5674 nt
Filed under: Trifolium pratense (red clover)
Lineage: Eukaryota; Viridiplantae; Streptophyta; Magnoliopsida; Fabales; Fabaceae
Description: long non-coding RNA (TPRA_LNC002652)
Source: RNAcentral
CUCAACAAUCAUACAUUAAAUACUAUAUCUUAUAUUAAUCUUUUUGGCUGUAAUAUUAGUGCUAAUUGAAAAAACAUUAGGAUAUCUGCUAUAUUCUACCAAUUAGUCAUCAGAUGAUCCUUUUAUGGAUGAUGUAGUCUUACUUAUAUAUGUUGAGCAGCUUUGUGUUAUGCAGAAUGAAAGACAGCAACUAUAUAUGAAUGCAUGCUAUUAUGCUAAUGACAAAUGUAGUUAGUUUGAAAUUCCCAAUUGUACAAACUGAUUUUUAGCGUUUUAAUUUUAAAUUUAAGUCAUGCUGGAUAUGUUAGUUAAGGGUCAAAAUCACACAACUGCAAUACUUAAUGGUCAAAAUCGCACAAUUGCAAUAUUUUGAGGGUCAAAAUUACAAUUAAACCUAAAGUUUAAUUAUAAAUUGUUUUCAGGGGGAUACAACUUGAAACACAAAUUACUAGCUGUCUGUCAUCUACUUUCUUUCUUUCUUUUUUUUAGUAUUCAACGGUGCCGAAGCCCAAAAAAGAAAUUACAAAGUAACUAGUCCGGGUAGAAACAACCCUACAAUCAUCAACAUAAACUUGAGCCACCUGUGGAGGAGGGGACACAAAGAAAACAACACCUUGUGACCUUCACUAUCCAUAUUAGCAAAGCACAUCCGCACAUCAAUUAGCUUCUCUAAACACAUGUAUAAUUCUAACCUCCCAAUUCAAAUCUAGCAAGCUUCUAACUCUCUACAAAAUUGCACAGUCCACACUAUUCCUUUUGUUUGCACUUUUCAAAUUAUGCACCAUAACCUGAGAAUAAAUUUGAAUCUCAACCUUCUCUACUUGUCUUCUCCUUGCUAGUUGUAGCCCUUCAUAUACCCCCCAUAAUUCUGUCAUAUAUGCAGAGGUAUGUCCUAUGAACUUCGCAAAUCCUUCAAUCCAAUUACCCUCCACAUCCCGCUUGCUNNNNNNNNNNNNNNNNNNNNNNNNNNNNNNNNNNNNNNNNNNNNNNNNNNNNNNNAAAUUGUCAUCAUGAAUUCGCUUAUCUCGCCAACCGCUGCCUGGUUAAAAGCCUUGCAUGCUUCAUUCUUUCUUUUUUUGAAUCUACUUUCUUACUAUCAGAAUGAAACCCAUUGUUAGACAAGACAAUACGAUAAUAGAUUCAAAAUAGAAUACGCUUACAAGUUGGUAUAAUAUUUUCGAAUCUCAUCAUACAUUCAAAAUAGAAAUUAAAUGUGUUUUACAAACAAGCAUACUCUAAUGUAUACAAGUAUGGCUAUUCUAAAUGAGAUGUCUUUCUUCUUCCACUUUGCUUGUUGUCUAGGCAUAACACAACAAUAGAAGACAUUCUGCCGUACCAAGCAGUCGAGGAGAAUAUGUUUCUGCAGAUCAGUUCACAUAAUAAGCUUGUGCACUAAGAAAUAAGUGUAAACCAGAAGGCUUCAAUAAUCAUUACUAGAACUGGAUAGUUCCCACGAUAAGCUUAUGCCUUAAGCAAUAGCAGUGCACACCAAAAGGCUUAAAAUAAGUCUACUACAGCUUGUAUGUGCCGCAGUUUUUUCUACAAGUUCUGACACCAUCAAUGCAAGAAACCAACACCAAGAUACCAGCAAUGAGUGAUCCGUCCUGCAAAUUUGAAUUAAAAACUAGCAGCUCCCAAUACUAAAUCACUUAUACUACAAAAUCAACAAUUAGACAAGCUUUAAAGAAAUAAUGUUCCAACAAAUUUAAGUAACAGUGGAAGGAUACCACAGUAAUAGAACAUUCCAACACCUGUUAAUACAUCUAUACAAGCAAUGCAGGCCCCGUUUGUUACAGAUUUUUUUUCAAAAAAAAUUAUUUUUUUUUAAUUUUACUUUGUGUUUGUUUCAGAUUUUUCAAAAAUCAUUUUAGUAAAAAAUAAAAUCAUUUUUUCAUCAAAAUGAAAAGCUAUAGCUUUCUUCAAAAUCUAUUUUUUUAAAACCAAUUUCUAAAAAAAUAGAUUUUUUGUUAUCGUAAACAAACGAAAAAUAGCUUUAGAUUUUUGAAAAAUCUCUAAAAAAAAUCAUUUUUUUUAAAGCUUGAACAAACAUGCCCGCAAUCACCCCUAUAAGUCAAAAUCCAAAAAAUAAAUAGAGGUUACCGUGUUGAAAUUCUAAAGAAAUGCACCUAAGAUUUGAUUUGUCAUGUUAAAAACAUUAGUAAUAUCCAAAAUUAUUUAUAAACGCUGCCACUCAGCAAGACCUUUCACGAUAAGAGUUUGAUUUUGAGUGAAAUGUUUCGUUUUGGUGAUGAAAUGGGUUUGUUUGUUUGUUUUGAGUAAGGAUAUUGGGAAAAAGCGAUUGGGAUUUGAUGAGAUGGAACUGUUCGUGAGUCACAGCAGAGACUUUUGACUUCUUCUUCGAAGUUUUGAGUCAUUUCCGUAGGUGUCGUCGACAACAUGUUUUGUUCUAGAUCUAGAACAAAGCGUGAUGUCGAUGACACCAACGGAAUCGAAGAGUGUUGACAUGAAAGUCGGGCGCAGUUGAUCAAGCAUCAGGAUAGCUUGGUUCAGCCGUUAGGGUUUAUCUUUCUUAUGAACUCCUCCGUUUUAAUUUAUAAGGAAAAAAAAAAUAAAUCACUUUUUCAUUCUAAAUUUAAAAGAAAGGUUUAAUUACACUUAUGGUUUUCUAUUUGUUAAAUUUAUAAAAAUAGUCUCCUAUUUUAAAAUUAAACUUUUUGAUUCCCUAUUUUUACAUUUAUUGUAGUUUUGGUCCUAACUCAAGUUUUUUUUUUUCCUAAAAGUAACGAUUUUUAACGUCAAAAAAGAUGAAUUUUGGUAUCAAAUAUGAUAUUUCAUCUUUAAACUCAAUUUUAGAGGCUAUAAAUCACUUCUUUUUUUUUUGUACAAACUAUAAAUCACUUUUUAAAACGCUAAAUAUCAUUAUUUUUAGAGAAAAAACAUGACUUCAGACAAAAAUUACCACAAAUUGAAUUUUAAAAUAGGGGGACUAUUACAUUUAAUUUACUCUUUUUCUCUUUUCCCUAAUCAACAAGGUUGUCAGAACCGGACCGGUCAUCGAACCGGCGAGCUCACCGGUUCAAGGUUCAAUUGGUCGGACCGGGUUCAAUCGGGGUCGAACCGUUUUUAAUUAAAUAUAUAUUUUAAAUAAUAUAUAAAUAAAAAUAUAUGAAUANNNNNNNNNNNUGCUCAAUAUUUCAUAAUUUCACACAUUAAAAAGAUAAAAUAUCACAAGUCAAAAUAAAAUAAAAUUUAUAAUUCAAACCAAAUGAAAAAUAGAUGAAAAACAAAAAUCUUUCUUAUUCCUACGACGUCGUUGUUUUGUUUCAUAUUUUUUUUAAAAAAAAAAGAAGUUAAAACGACGUCGUUUUGCCCUAUUUUUUUAAAAAAAAUAAAAAAUCUGCAAAACCGCUUGAACCGCCCGCCCGGUUCAGUGGUUCGACCCGGUUCGACCCCGGUUCACGCGGUUUUUUGCCGGUCGGUUUCCUAUCCAUUUUUUGCUCAAAACCGAACCGUUUUCAUGACCGGUUCACGGUCCGGUCCGGUUUUGAUAACCUUGCUAAUCAAUAUCCAAUUACGUUACAUUAUUUUUAUAUAUAUAGGGGCCGGGGUUCAACCCCAAUCACCCCACUUAUUCACUUUAAGGAUAAAGUUUCUAGCCCAAGACUACUUGACAAAAUAAUAAAUAUAAUAAUAACCAGGCAUUUUUUGUUUACAUUUUUACAUGAAAUUAUUUUAAGAAAAACACAAAAAUAUAUAUAAAUUAAAUUCAAUACAAAAAGUCAUAGUUCAAAUUAUUAUAUUUUAUCAUUCUUAAUAAACUUAUUUUACUUUUUUUUUUGUUAUUAUGUUACGAUCAUUUUGAGGUUAUCUUAUGGUCAUAUGGUUUAACAACUAUGAUUGGGUAUUGUUUGGUGGUUAAAGUGUUAUUUUGGAUAAUUUUGACCCUAUCGUAUGGUCAUUUUGGUUAGAAAUAGGUUGCGAGAUUACUCAAACAUAUGUUUAUAAACAAGGACAAUUCUCUAAUCUUAUAAGCCGUUUUUAUAUAGUUGAAUUAAGUCAUAAAGGCUGAAUUGGAAAAAGUCGACCUUCGGUUACCUUCUCUUCACGGCUACUUCUAAUGUGCACAAGUAGCACAAAUUGUGCACCAUGCACAAGUUGCUCGUAUUAUUAUAACGAAUACGAAUUUUACAAAAUCCACAGUUGGAUUGAAAGUUUAUAUCAUAAAGAUCGUCCAUAAUUUUUUUAAAAAAAAUCGAAAAUUAUUUGAUAUGUUAUUGUGACCCAUCAAAAUUAACGGUUUAUGAAUUUUAAUUGAAUACCGUUAAUCUUGAUGAGUCUCAAUAACAUAUCAAAUAAUUUUUAAUUUUUUUAAAAAAUUUAUGGAUGAUCUAUAUGAUAUAAACUUUCAAUCCAACGGUAGAUUUUAUAAAAUUCGUAUUCGUUAUAAUAAUAUUCGAAACUUGUGCACCAUGGAAGACUUACUGAAGUCUUCCAUGUUAGCCAAAGCCUCUCUUCACAUCAUAAUUCACUAAAAUUAGUUGAUAAAAAAAAUAAAGGAUAACAGAUUAAAAGUGUGAUAAAAAUUAACGGUUGAAUUAAUUUAUAAGUUAGCUUGUUGUGGUUGUCAAUCAGGCCCUAUACUAGCAAGCAGUGGAUUUCUCACCAUAACUAUAAUGGUCACUGGCGUGAUGCAGAAACACACCAAAAGAGUAAUAGUAAUAAUAAAAGGACCAAAAGAAAGAAAGAAAGAAAGAAAGAAAGAAAAUCUCACUAAUUAAGCUAAAAAUGAAAAAGAAGAUUCCAAAAGUAAUAAUGUUACAGUUAAAAUGGCCCAACCUUGCACUCAAGGAUUCCUUAUGUUUAUAUACUGUUGUCCUCCAACAAGGCAACAACACCACAUCCAACGUGUCUUCUAAGUUGUCUGAAUUGGAUUACCUAUGUGGCCAGAAAACAUAGCAUUCCACAUCUUAAACUCACACACCAAGCAUAACUCCACACUUCUCUUGUUGCUUUACUUGUGCUAAAACAUGUCUUAUACUUUCCCUUGUCUUUAUAUAAAGAGCACUGAGUCUCUUCCUAAGAUACUCAAACAUCUCAACAAUCAUACAUUAAUUACUAUAUAUCUUAAAUAUAAUUAAUUCUUCUCUGCUAGAAACAAUAUUUUGCUCUUAAAAAAAAUGUCAUUUGUUUCAAGAGUUGUUGCUUCAUGGUGCCAGAAGCAUGGAAAUGAUGAAGGUGCUGUUUUGUAUGACUAUCCUCUUGCAAUUUGCAAUGAAGGAGACGACGACGAUGAUGGUGGUUAUGAUUAUGCUCCAGCAGCAUAAACUCAUUAUCUGUCUGAUUGAUUUUGGCUACUACUUCAACUAGCUAAUUAGUCUACUACACUUAACUAGUUAAUGACUCUCUUCUUGUUUUUGGUUGUAACAAUAUUAGUGCUAAUUGAAAAAACAUUAGGAUAUCUGCUAUACUCUAAUAGCCUAUUAGUCAUCAUAUGAUCCUUUUAUGGAUGAUGUAGUCUACUUAUAUAUGUUGACCAGCUUUGUGUUAUGCAGAAUGAAAGAGCAACUAUAUAUGAAUAAUGCAUGCUAUUAUGCUAAUAACAAAUGUAGUUAGUUUGAAAUUCCCAAGUAAUGAUUUCAUUUGCUCUCACGUGUACAAACUGAUUUUUAGUGUUUUAAUUUUAAAUAAAAGUCAUGCUGGAUAUGUUAGUUAA